This 87-nucleotide transfer RNA is filed under the name Candidatus Sungiibacteriota bacterium. Its description in RNAcentral is "tRNA-Ser". It matches the Rfam family "tRNA". From Rfam's summary of the family: Transfer RNA (tRNA) molecules are approximately 80 nucleotides in length. Their secondary structure includes four short double-helical elements and three loops (D, anti-codon, and T loops). Further hydrogen bonds mediate the characteristic L-shaped molecular structure. tRNAs have two regions of fundamental functional importance: the anti-codon, which is responsible for specific mRNA codon recognition, and the 3' end, to which the tRNAs corresponding amino acid is attached (by aminoacyl-tRNA synthetases). tRNAs cope with the degeneracy of the genetic code in two manners: having more than one tRNA (with a specific anti-codon) for a particular amino acid; and 'wobble' base-pairing, i.e. permitting non-standard base-pairing at the 3rd anti-codon position. The record is from RNAcentral. Lineage: Bacteria; Candidatus Sungiibacteriota.
GGUGGGGUGGCAGAGCGGACGAUUGCACCGGUCCUGAAAACCGGAGUACCUUUACGGGUACCGUGAGUUCGAAUCUCACCCCCACCG